This 74-nucleotide transfer-messenger RNA is filed under the name Proteus mirabilis. RNAcentral's name for it is "partial transfer-messenger RNA". It matches the Rfam family "transfer-messenger RNA", at positions 298 to 374 of the family's 374-position model. From Rfam's summary of the family: Bacterial tmRNA, also known as 10Sa RNA or SsrA, is named for its dual tRNA and mRNA-like properties. Its role is to liberate the mRNA from a stalled ribosome. The record is from RNAcentral. Lineage: Bacteria; Pseudomonadati; Pseudomonadota; Gammaproteobacteria; Enterobacterales; Morganellaceae.
AAGACUAGACUAAGCAUGUAGUGCCGCGGAUGUAGAAAUUUCGGACGCGGGUUCAACUCCCGCCAGCUCCACCA